Molecule: long non-coding RNA, 2614 nt
Organism: Drosophila sechellia
Lineage: Eukaryota; Metazoa; Arthropoda; Insecta; Diptera; Drosophilidae
Exons: 2
Source: RefSeq, a predicted model, not a curated record
AAAGGUCGAGAAGAUACAACUCAAACCGUAGAGUCGGCGUUGGCGUUCCGCUCUCUCUCGUGGAUGGGCUCCCGCUCUCGCUCACGGCGUUUGUUGGCCAACAAACAGCAAGUCAACCUCCUCAAGUCUGUUUCUGGUUCGCCAUGAGUGGGCACAGUGGGCUAGGCCCUCGUAAAUUCAUCUCUUAGGUAUAGAUUUCUAAUUAUGAACUUCUAAUAGGGUGACCAACCUGGCGUAUGAGUAAUUUUUGUGACAACAAUGCGUAUGAGCAACAUUUGACCAUGUUUGAUUUUACAAUAGAAAAAGCUUUACAGUAAAUGUAAUACAUUAUCAAUAUAUUUCCCACAAUUGCAAUAUUGGUUUUUUGUAAAUUUCGAUUUUUGGUGGCACCAACAACUGUAUCAACCAAAUCCAGAGAUAUUGCGAAAGUGAAAGAACAGCAUUAUAAAUAGAUCUGCCAUCGGGUAUUUAUUUAAUAAUCCCACGCCCACUGUGCCUCCAAUGCUCACAAAUACACGCCAAAAGGUGUUGGAUGCCAAGAGAGAUCGCUCCAUGAGAGAGUGCACAUAGCGGAGACAGAGAGCGAGAUGCGAUGUGGAGAACGCGAGCCAAAGAGAGUGGAGCGUCGGUGAUGUCAUCCCCACUUAUUGACGAAUACACACGAAGGAGAGCCCCAGCCAAACGCACGAACUAAUCAAAACAAGCAAUCGAAGCCUAUACAGAUUAGAGGCCCCGUAAAGUUCGAUCCGUGCACGUUGGACGCGAAUUUCGAUCAAAGAACCCGCACAUUGCAGUCCCGUUUGGAGACCAACGUGUGCUGCGAUCUUAUUGGAGUGCAAUUGAUAACAGCUGUGGGGGAUCGCUCCCUCUUAGACACUUCUCUCUGUCCCUCUCACGUAACAAGCAACCCCAAUUGGGGGGGCUUUUUGAAAUGUGCAGCCCAUAGAGAAGAAGCUGUCGCAUCUUUUUUGAUUUCUCAACAUUUUCUUGUAGAAAGUGUCGUGGUGGGCAAUCGAAACAACAACAAUGGGUAAGGCAAUAUGAUUGAAACCCCAACCGCCAAGUGACGUCAGUGGAGCAACAGCAACAUGGCAUAAAGAAAACAAAUCAAAUUCAGCGAAAAUAUGCGCUUUAAAAAAUAAAGUAUGAGAAAUAACUGCAAAAAUCCUCUGCCAAUGCCAGCAGAGGUGAUCUUCUUCUUCAUCUGCUACUUGCCAUGGCUGUUGUUCUUGUUGUUGUUGUCUCAGCAGCCAGUUGUGGGUGGCAAAUAAACAAGUUGCUCUCUCGCUUGCUCACUCGCGUGGGGCAGACCCCACCGCCUCUCUUUCGCACUCCGGUGACCUGCCGCCGCUCUCUUUCGUUGGCCUUAGUUGCGUCCCUAGUUGGCAACUCGUUUACCUUUUUCGUAUUUUGUUUUUCGCUUUUUGUCUUGCAGCUUUUCGCUGCGAACAUCUGUUGUUGUUAACUCUUUCUGCCGCAAAUCUGUUAAAACAAAGUCAUGUGGAAUUUUGGUAAUGUCAAUCAGAGCCAUAUGCUGUGACAACCGAGGAUUGCGGGCCCAUCUGGUCAUCUAAUGUUGUCCAAAACGAUGGAAAGCUAUCGCAUGGACGAUUACAGAUAGUUUGAGUGUGGUUUUCGGGUGUGCAACAUACGCAUUCGAUUCAAUUGAUUCGAAUGUUCGCAUCAAGUGGUCGUUUCGCUUCCCACUCGAAAGUUUCCACGCUUAAUCAAGUUUGGAGAUUGGAAGUUGGAGAUUGGCCUGUCAUAUGCAUCUCAAGGGGAUCCUUUUCCAAGGCUCGGAAACUAACUUUUGGAUCGAAAGCGUACAUGUAAUGUGGCUUACACUUUCGCAUGAAUGGGCUUGUUGAACUAUAUAGAUUUGUGAUCUCAUUCAGUUAAAGUUGAAUUAUUCAUUACCUUUGUUUAAUAACAUUGAAAUAUAUUUAUAGCUACAUAUGUAGGUUGUGUCGUUUCCUGUCAGAAGUUUGCGUCUUAUUUUUGCCUUUGUUCUAAAACUUGUUUGGAAAUAUACUGCCCAAUGAUGUUCUGAAACUUCCAGAUGCUGAUAAUUUAGCACAUGCACAAAUUAUUGUCUUCCAAAUAAUUGGUCAUUAUGCUAUAGUUUUUCAAACCCCAAAGGAAAAAACACAUAACAUUUUUUAUUGACGUUCAUUGAAUUUUAUUGAAAUUUUGCGAGUUAAUACAAAACCGAAAAUAGAAAUUAAUGCAAUUAACAUUAAAAACGCCCGCUCACCGUUACAAUGCCACUGAAAAACGUUUGUUUAAUACUAUGGUUAACUGAUUUACAAUUACUAGAAGAGUGUCUCGGUUCUUGUCUACAAAAAUGUAAAAUAAUAGUCACAUUUAAAAUUGCAUAAAUUCUAGACAAGUGUAGAUGUUAUAGUAUGUCGUACAUAUUGUUUUUUUUUACUUUUUUUUGUUUUUUUUGGAGAAAUUCUCAUGCAUAAAAUGUUUUUGUAUUUCAUAAUCAUUCUUCUUUUCAUAUUUUCUUUUAUUUCUUGUUGUUGUAAUAAUUUGGAAUUAUGCAUUAUAUGUUUUAAAUUUUAUUGCAUUUUAUGUAAUUAAAUAUAUAUAACGUACAUCACAGCAAAAC